ACACGUAGGGGGCGAGCGUUAUCCGGAAUUACCGGGCGUAAAGAGUGCGUAGGUGGCUUUGCAAGCGUAGGGUAUAAGGCGACAGCCCAACUGUCGUUGGCCCCGCGAACUGUAAGGCUUGAGUACAGGAGGGGAAGGCGGAAUUCCUAGUGUAGCGGUGAAAUGCGUAGAUAUUAGGAGGAACACCAGUGGCGAAGGCGGCCUUCUGGACUGUAACUGACACUGAGGCACGAAAGCGUGGGUAGCAAUCAGGAUUAGAUACCCUGGUAGUCCACGCCGUAAACGAUGAGCACUAGGUGUCGGGCUCGCAAGAGUUCGGUGCCGGAGCAAACGCAUUAAGUGCUCCGCCUGGGGAGUACGCACGCAAGUGUGAAACUCAAAUGAAUUGACGGGG
RNAcentral lists this ribosomal RNA (394 nucleotides) under uncultured bacterium. Its description in RNAcentral is "partial 16S ribosomal RNA". It matches the Rfam family "Bacterial small subunit ribosomal RNA", at positions 523 to 918 of the family's 1533-position model. The record is from RNAcentral.